This is a long non-coding RNA of Poecile atricapillus (Black-capped chickadee), 3201 nucleotides long. RefSeq lists it as uncharacterized. The record is from RefSeq and is a predicted model, not a curated record. Lineage: Eukaryota; Metazoa; Chordata; Aves; Passeriformes; Paridae. The transcript is spliced from 3 exons.
UCCGAGGCACGCUCGUCCUGAUGGAAUCGAGCAAGGAAACCUCGGACUGCUGUUCCCACGGGUGCCGUUGGGAUCCGGGCUGUAGAGGCCACGCUGUCCCCAAGGCCGGGUUCCUCUCCCCCUCUCUGCGGGUGUUAUUUACACCGUUUCCUGCCCAGGGAAGUUCAGGAGUUUGACGUUACUGGGUUGGUUUCCGCUCUCCUGCCCGGCUCCCUCCGGGAGCUGUCGCAGAGCCCGGCAGCAGCCGGGCCGGUCCCCGUGGGCGGGAUGGAGGUGCCAGCCAGGCCAGGGAGGGAAGUGUAACCCAUGUCAGGCCGGACAACUCGGGCUCAACCAGCUUGGGAGGGCUGGAGAACCAGCCCUGUGUCCAUCCCUCCGCCUCAGUCCUGCUGUGGGACUGGACAGGGCCGGCAGGAGGAAGGAGGACGCGCCCGGGCAUGGCUGCAGAGCUUUUUGGGUUCCUGCCGAAUUGACGCCCUCCCCUCUCCCCCCUCAUCCUUCCCGCCUGGCCUGCGUCUCCCCUCCCUCCCUUCCCUUCUCCCUCCCAUCCCGCAGCAAACAAAAUGGCUGCUCCAUGGCCAUUUUGUUUCCCAUCUGGAAGGGGGAAGCCGGGACGCUGGGACUUGGCUCUUUUUUGGAGGCUGCGGCCAUGUCCGAGCCCAACUCUCCCGUCUCUACGUGGCACCAGCUGUAGCAAGAGAGAGAAAGGGAAAAAAAAAGGAGAAAAAAAAAAAAAAAAGGACAUUUUGGAACGAGACCAAAGGCAGAGGCAGAGAGUGGGUAGUUUUGGCGUAUGUUGAGCACUGAAAAUGCCUGGAAUUGCCAAACUGAGCUUUUGUAUGAGCAGCGUAAGGGCUACUCGGUGCACGCAGAGCCGCGGGGCUGCACGGAAUAGCCGGACGGAAAGUGAUUCUGCAUCUCCUUCAGUAGCCUGGAUGUCUUGGCGUUAGUAGCCACGUCGCUUUGUUCAUGGACACUCCGAGGAGCAGAUCCCUGCCCUGUGGCACGGGGGGAUCAGGCUCUGAUAAGGUGUUGGAAUGAUUGUCCUGCCGUUCCUUGAGUGGCUUUCCAGACAUGUGGAGAGGAGCAGAGACUUCCAGAGCGGAGCUGGGAAGGAGAGCAGAAAGAGGUGAAAUGGCUUUCCUUGCACAGAAAGGACCUGCAGAGCAGCCAGUGUCUGGAUAAGGCUCAUCCCAGUGCCUGGAUAAGGAUCAUCCCAGUGCCUGGAUAAGGCUCAUCCCAGUGCCUGGAUAAGGAUCAUCUCAGGCUGCCACAGUCCCAAGCUGUCCUUGAGGCUGAGGUAGUAGAUUGAAUAGUUGUGGAGUCUGGUCCUCCCUCUGAGCUAACUAUACAAUCUACUGUCUUUCCUAAGGAGACAGUCAGGUCUUCAGGUCUGCUCAUCCACUUCUGCACCAGGUGUGGGGGCAGGUGGUGCAACUAAAGCAAAUCGGUGUCGGUGAUGCGUCUGUUCUGCUCUGUGGAGGUGAGGUAGUAGGUUGUAUAGUUUGGUGGGAGGGAUUUGAUCCCAUUUCAGGUGAUAACUAUACAGUCUAUUGCCUUCCUUAAAGAGCAGCAAAACCACCGGCAGGGAGGAGCUCCCGAGGCAUCGCUUCCUUUGUUGAGGAUCCAGAAACGCAGCGUGGCAUUGUUAAACAACUCAGUGGGUGUUUCUCUUACAGUGUCCAAAAUUGCAUUCUUCCAGGAAUUGCUUCAUGCCUCAGGCACUGGAGCAUGGAGCCACCUGCUUCCAGGGAACCCACCUCUGUUUAAGGUGUGAGAGAACCAGGGAAAUGAGUUUGCACAGCAGCUCACAGUGUUCAGUUCUGUUCUUUUUUUGCAGGAGAUGGGCUCAAGUUGUAAAGUGUUUAAGUGUGUUGAUUUUUCUGGUCUGACCUCAGGUCUGGAGGGGAGUAGAUACUUUGGUAUAAAUGGGACAGAUCUGAGCUUGUGAUUGAAUUUUGUUGUGCCCAUUUCUGAAGUUGGGGUUCAGAACCAGACCCAAGAGCAAGUUUAGCCUGUGGACUCAGAGCCCUGGGAGCUGAUCAGAUCUGGCUGGUUGGCCCCUGCUCAGGAAGUGCAUUUUGUUUUGGACAAGUUCCCAGCCUGUCCCAUGGAACAGAGUUAGAGGGUGGUUCUUUCUGAUCUGAUAAUCCCGUAUCAACUGAACUCGCUCACAUGCAAACCCUGUCAGGGGAAGUUUAGGACUCAUGGCUCUUUGUAUAGGAUGAGCCAAUGAUUCAGACUAAAAUCUUGUUCUAAAGUGGAGACAGGUAGGGAAGAGCCAAAGGGAGCAGGUUCUAAUCCUUCUGGGUUCACCCAGGCACUGUCACCUGACAGCAGACAUGUGAGAAGUCAUCACGCUUCAGAGCUCUGGCCCUUGGCAAGGGACAGGGAAUUGUUAAUUCUUCUCUUUCUUAGGAGCAGGUGGGACUAUCCCUCUGCCGUUUUCCAGAGUAAGUAGGAUCAAGACCACGAGUGGAGCUGUAACACGAUCAGGGCUGCAUCAGGAAGGACAUUUCAGGCCAUUAUCACAACCAUCUUACUGCCAGGGAGACGCGUGAGAUCCGAGACUCCGGGGAGCGAGGGCAAGCAGAGGACACCUUCUCAGAUGAAGUGGGAGGGAGAGAGCAAGGAGAAAUUGGAGCCCGCAAAUUUCACCCUGAGCAGAGGCACAGGGAGAGCCAGACCUGGCUGCCAGGGCCGUGGGAGUCCCCAGAAUGAAGCAGCUCCUUUCAGGCCCCUCUGCUGGGACAGGGCGUAGCUACAGCGAGGCUGGGACACAGCUGGUGGGUGGGGAUGCUGCAGUUCCAAGCGGCGAAGGAAUGCAGCCCUCUCUCCAUAAAUCUGGCUUUUCAGCAGUCCUGGCGACUUGCUGUGCAAAACUACAGCUUGGUCCUCUGAGCUGCAUUAUUAUCCUCCAGCUGCUUGCUCAGGGGCAGGGCGCCUGCCCACAGAUUGCUUGGAAGGUACCAAAAUAGCACCACAAGCAUGGGAACAGGGCGGCAUAUCCACUUCAUCUGGAGAGGUGUCCCCUGGAAAAGAGCUAAUCCCACGUGUCCCAGAUGGAAUCUGUUCAGUCUCCCUCCGUGACAUUGAUACUAACACUGAGAAGCUCAAACAGUGGAACUGUGUGACCUGGAAGCUGUGAAUAAAGUAUUACUGGAGGUACUCCCUUGUGAAAAUAAACUUGGUUUGACUUUU